UACGUAGGCAGCAAGCGUUGUUCGGAGUUACUGGGCGUAAAGAGUGCGUAGGCGGUCCUGUAAGUUUGGUGUGAAAUCUCCCGGCUCAACUGGGAGGGUGCGCCGAAGACUGCAGGGCUUGAGUAUGGGAGAGGUAAGCGGAAUUCCUGGUGUAGCGGUGGAAUGCGCAGAUAUCAGGAGGAACACCGAUGGCGAAGGCAGGUCUCUGGGCCGCAACUGACGCUGAGGAGCGAAAGCAUGGGGAGCGAACAGG
RNAcentral lists this ribosomal RNA (253 nucleotides) under uncultured bacterium. RNAcentral's name for it is "partial 16S ribosomal RNA". It matches the Rfam family "Bacterial small subunit ribosomal RNA", at positions 524 to 776 of the family's 1533-position model. The record is from RNAcentral.